AUUGAACGCUGGCGGCAGGCUUAACACAUGCAAGUCGAGCGGAAACGAUGAUAGCUUGCUAUCAGGCGUCGAGCGGCGGACGGGUGAGUAAUACUUAGGAAUCUACCUAGUAGUGGGGGAUAGCACGGGGAAACUCGUAUUAAUACCGCAUACGACCUACGGGAGAAAGGGGGCAGUUUACUGCUCUCGCUAUUAGAUGAGCCUAAGUCGGAUUAGCUAGAUGGUGGGGUAAAGGCCUACCCUGGCGACGAUCUGUAGCUGGUCUGAGAGGAUGAUCAGCCACACCGGGACUGAGACACGGCCCGGACUCCUACGGGAGGCAGCAGUGGGGAAUAUUGGACAAUGGGGGAAACCCUGAUCCAGCCAUGCCGCGUGUGUGAAGAAGGCCUUUUGGUUGUAAAGCACUUUAAGCAGUGAAGAAGACUCCAUGGUUAAUACCCAUGGACGAUGACAUUAGCUGCAGAAUAAGCACCGGCUAACUCUGUGCCAGCAGCCGCGGUAAUACAGAGGGUGCAAGCGUUAAUCGGAAUUACUGGGCGUAAAGGGAGCGUAGGUGGCUCUAUAAGUCAGAUGUGAAAUCCCCGGGCUUAACCUGGGAACUGCAUCUGAAACUGUAGAGCUAGAGUAUGUGAGAGGAAGGUAGAAUUCCAGGUGUAGCGGUGAAAUGCGUAGAGAUCUGGAGGAAUACCGAUGGCGAAGGCAGCCUUCUGGCAUAAUACUGACACUGAGGCUCGAAAGCGUGGGUAGCAAACAGG
This 755-nucleotide ribosomal RNA is filed under the name uncultured bacterium. RNAcentral describes it as "bacterial SSU rRNA". It matches the Rfam family "Bacterial small subunit ribosomal RNA", at positions 28 to 776 of the family's 1533-position model. The record is from RNAcentral.